GGAAAGGAGGUGGUUGAAAAGUAAAUAAAUGUGGGUAAAUGUGAAUAAAUGGGGAAGAUAAAAAGUUGAAGGGUGUAACGUUCGUCUCCAACGGCACUGUAACGUUCACCUAGUCUGGAGGGUGUUACGCUCAUUACAGAUGUGUGACGGGCGUCACAAGUACUUGGCGUGCCGUUCGUCAUAGAUUGUGUGACGCUCGUCACACAGUCUUUUUGGCAAGGCUUCAGCUAGUGUUCUUCAUAGUUACUUUGGUAAUAUAUUUAUUUUUAUUAUUUUGUUUUGCUUUUGCUUUUGAUUAUUUUAUUUUGCUAUUUAAUUUUCCUGCACGUCAUUCUACUUUGCACAAUGAUGCAUAUAUAUAUUGUUCUUUUUAAUAAGUCAUGUAGGCAGCAACAGUAGGGAGCAUAAUAGAUAUUACAUAAUAAAAUGAAUAAAUAGCUUCAAUAAAAUAAUCAUAAUGUAACAAGGAGAAAAACAAAAAGUGCGAAAGAGAAACAAAUACGAAUAUAAUUUGAAAUAACAUUAACGAAUUAAUCUAGCUUAAGACUAAAUGACUAAGAAAAACAAAUAAAUUAUAUCCAUCUGCACGAUCUCUGGCCGGAGGAGCAAAGGAGUUAACACGGUAUAGCAACUCGUGAAACUGGUUUGUCAUACUGUUCAUGUAUCCCAGAAAUUCGUGCCUCAAGCUAGUGAACU
RNAcentral lists this long non-coding RNA (696 nucleotides) under Lathyrus oleraceus (garden pea). RNAcentral's name for it is "Pisum sativum (pea) long non-coding RNA (PSAT_LNC010117)". The record is from RNAcentral. Lineage: Eukaryota; Viridiplantae; Streptophyta; Magnoliopsida; Fabales; Fabaceae.